CCUUCGGGAACUCUGAGACAGGUGCUGCAUGGCUGUCGUCAGCUCGUGUUGUGAAAUGUUGGGUUAAGUCCCGCAACGAGCGCAACCCUUAUCCUUGUUUGCCAGCGAGUAAUGUCGGGAACUCCAGGGAGACUGCCGGUGAUAAACCGGAGGAAGGUGGGGACGACGUCAAGUCAUCAUGGCCCUUACGAGUAGGGCUACACACGUGCUACAAUGGCGCAUACAGAGGGCGGCCAACUUGCGAAAGUGAGCGAAUCCCAAAAAGUGCGUCGUAGUCCGGAUUGGAGUCUGCAACUCGACUCCAUGAAGUCGGAAUCGCUAGUAAUCGUGGAUCAGAAUGCCACGGUGAAUACGUUCCCGGGCCUUGUACACACCGCCCGUCACACCAUGGGAGUGGGCUGCAAAAGAAGUAGGUAGUUUAACCUUCGGGGGGACGCUUACCACUUUGUGGUUCAUGACUGGGGUGAAGUCGUAACAAGGUAGCGCUAGGGGAACC
This 496-nucleotide ribosomal RNA is filed under the name Vibrio alginolyticus. RNAcentral's name for it is "bacterial SSU rRNA". It matches the Rfam family "Bacterial small subunit ribosomal RNA", at positions 1017 to 1512 of the family's 1533-position model. The record is from RNAcentral. Lineage: Bacteria; Pseudomonadati; Pseudomonadota; Gammaproteobacteria; Vibrionales; Vibrionaceae.